This 247-nucleotide unclassified non-coding RNA is filed under the name Glomeraceae sp. RNAcentral describes it as "partial contains 5.8S ribosomal RNA and internal transcribed spacer 2". The stretch from base 1 to 71 matches the Rfam family "5.8S ribosomal RNA", at positions 84 to 154 of the family's 154-position model. The record is from RNAcentral. Lineage: Eukaryota; Fungi; Glomeromycota; Glomeromycetes; Glomerales; Glomeraceae.
GUGAAUCAUCGAAUUUUUGAACGCAAAUUGCGCUUCCUGGUAUCCCGGGAAGUAUGCCUGUUUGAGGGUCAGUAGUAACAAAAAAUCGGUUUGGUUGCAAAUUGUUACGUUUCCGGGGUUUGGGCUUAUCUUAACUUUUUUGGUUAAGAGUCUUAAAAUUGACGUUUUUUGCGCAUUUUGAUACGUACAUAAAUUUUUUUUUUAUUCGUGUAUUCUUAAUGACAAGAUCUGAUUAGAUGCUAUCACU